AUGACCCAACGGCAGAGGCCCAAACAGGCUAUCUACACUUACAGUUGGGCCACGUUAUUUUUCGAGCCCCUUCUGGUUUUCCGUGUUGUUACGGAAGUGCUGCGCGAGAGCCGAUUGGCCGACGGACAGAGGGGCUCCGAGGCAAUAAUGGAGGCGGCGUCGGCGGCGUCGGCGGCGACGGCGACGGCGACGAUGGUGUUCGUGUACGGCACCCUGAAGCGCGGGUUUCCCAACUACCCCCGCCUCGCCGCCUUCGACUGCCCCUUCGCCGGCGCGGCCACCACCGCCGCCCCAGCCUCCCUCGUCAUCGGGCCCUACUCCGUCCCCUUCCUCCUCCCCACCCCGACUCCGUCCUCCGGGCGUCUGGUCUCCGGCGAGCUCUACUCCGCGUCGCCCAGCGCCCUCGCCGACCUCGACUUGCUAGAGGGCACUCACCUCGGCGUCUACGAGCGCCGGCGGAUCACCGUCGUGGUUGACGGGGCGAGCAAAGAGGUGGAGGCACAGGCUUACUUUGCGAACGCGAGCUACGCGGAGUUCCUGUGGCUGCGCUGCGGCGGCGAGGCGGCCGAGAUCGCGGAGUACACCAUGGAGCACGCGGGCAGGUACGUCCCGCCCAGUGGCCGCUCUCCCGGCGUCUCCGGGCUCAUGGAUGCCGUCCGUGCCUUCCUCGCCACUGCUCCGCCAGAAAAUUGA
RNAcentral lists this ribosomal RNA (693 nucleotides) under Triticum aestivum (bread wheat). Its description in RNAcentral is "partial small subunit ribosomal RNA". The record is from RNAcentral. Lineage: Eukaryota; Viridiplantae; Streptophyta; Magnoliopsida; Poales; Poaceae.